AGUAACACGUGAGCAACCUGCCCCUGACUCCGGGAUAAGCGGUGGAAACGCCGUCUAAUACCGGAUACGACCCGCCACCUCAUGGUGGAGGGUGGAAAGUUUUAUCGGUCAGGGAUGGGCUCGCGGCCUAUCAGCUUGUUGGUGGGGUAAAGGCCUACCAAGGCGAUUACGGGUAGCCGGCCUGAGAGGGCGACCGGCCACACUGGGACUGAGACACGGCCCAGACUCCUGCGGGAGGCAGCAGUGGGGAAUAUUGCACAAUGGGCGAAAGCCUGAUGCAGCGACGCCGCGUGGGGGAUGAAGGCCUUCGGGUUGUAAACCUCUUUUACCACCAACGCAGGCUCCACGUUCUCGUGGGGUUGACGGUAGGUGGGGAAUAAGGACCGGCUAACUACGUGCCAGCAGCCGCGGUAA
This 414-nucleotide ribosomal RNA is filed under the name Nocardiopsis prasina. Its description in RNAcentral is "bacterial SSU rRNA". It matches the Rfam family "Bacterial small subunit ribosomal RNA", at positions 109 to 523 of the family's 1533-position model. Lineage: Bacteria; Bacillati; Actinomycetota; Actinomycetes; Streptosporangiales; Nocardiopsidaceae. The record is from RNAcentral.